AGUUGGUGUGCAUGAUGGGUUUGAUGGAGCCGGUGAUAAUUGUCUAUUUCAUCAAGAAGUCUCAAUGAUUCAUAGUGAACAUGUUCCUAAUUUAGAUACUUCUUUAGAUGAUGUGGUGUUGGAAUUGAUAAAAUGGGUAGUUUCUGCAAUUCUGUCUCCAAAACCCCUACUCUAGAUGACAUUAGCGAGACCCAGAUUGUUGCGAUUGAAAACAGUUACUAUUCUAACAAUGUCACUCCUGAACAACAACCAAGACUCAGAAAGACUGGAAAAUACAAAUCAUCUAUGUAUGUUGGUUUUAGUUCAGCUGGCAGCAGCUUGGGUAAAUCACCUAUAUAUUUCAACAUAAACAUCCUUUUGCAAAUUACAAUGGAUUCAAAGUUGAUGAUGCACUGCUCAAUGAAUUUACAUCUUGGGUAUAUGCUAAAGUCUCUAAACGGAAGAACGGAAUUUCAGCAUACACUUUAAAGAACAACAAGAUUGUCAAUCCUUAUGAUUUGGGAGUUAAGAAAGUUGACAAAAUGGAGUGGUUCUACAAUGUCAUUCAAACUGGGAAAGCGUGGGAAGACUCGGUAUGUUGUCUCCAAAUUUCUGAUUUGCUUAUUUCAUUUUUUAUUUGUUGUAUGAAAAAUACUUUCAAGCUGAAUUUUUGGGUGUUGCAAGAAUGGUAGUUUAUGUUGAGAUGGCAUUAGGAUAUGUGUGUGGCCAUUGUUAGCACAAAUGUUAUGUGGAUUAUAUGAUUUUGACGUUUAUAUGUAUGAAAUUUGUGUGGAAUGUUGUUUUGAGAUAUCCAUAUGUGUAUGAAAUGUGCAUAUAUCAGUAUGCAUAUUAUAAAAACUGAUAUAUGACUGUUAAACUGAAUACUUAAUAACAGAAAUUCUUUACCAUUCUUACUUAUAUUUUAAUUGACAUUCUUUUUUUAGCAUAUUGAUGUCAUUAUGUAUUACUUGAGGAAAAAGGCAAAGUAUGGUCCAAAUAACCCAGUGAGAUACACAAAAACAGAUUGUUUUUUCAUAAAGUGGGUUGAGGCUAUCCACAAGCAGUACAAGGAAUACAAAAAUGAUAAGCGUUUUAUUACUGCUGAUCAUAAUGUGGCAAAAAUUAUUCGUGGGUUUAAAUUGAUUGCAAAUAUUGCUUGGGAUAGAGUUGAUAAUAUGCUCAUCCCAGUCAAUAUAAGCGAAGAAUACCAUUGGGUGUUAGUUGUUUUAUGUAUGAAAAGAAGGUGUCUCUACGUAUAUGAUUCAUUCCCAGGUGGGGCUAUGCAUACUAAUUCAAUUCGAGAAGUUGUUAAAAGGCUGGCCACCAUGAUACCUCUCUUUUUUAAUUGCACUGGAUUUUAUGGGAAAAGGAAUGACAUAAACUGGAUAACUGAACCAACAUAUGUUGGGAAGAGCUUUGAUGAUUCUUUGGAAUAUGUCUUUGUGGAUCAUUUGCCAGAACAACAUCCAAA
This is a long non-coding RNA of Lycium barbarum (goji berry), 1450 nucleotides long. RefSeq lists it as uncharacterized. The transcript has 3 exons. The record is from RefSeq and is a predicted model, not a curated record. NCBI's taxonomy places the organism in Eukaryota, Viridiplantae, Streptophyta, Magnoliopsida, Solanales, Solanaceae.